RNAcentral lists this unclassified non-coding RNA (1705 nucleotides) under Hevea brasiliensis (rubber tree). The record is from RNAcentral. Lineage: Eukaryota; Viridiplantae; Streptophyta; Magnoliopsida; Malpighiales; Euphorbiaceae.
AAAAGAGAAGGCAGUAUGAUAGUGCAGGGUUUGAGGUGCAUUUUUCAGCUCCUUUACUUUUUCCUUUUUAUCACAUCUUUAAUAUGAUGUUUGGUGCCAUUUUGUAAAAAAGACAAUGCACAGUGUGGGGCUUUAGGUGCUUCUUCUUCAGGUCAAUAGGAACUGAGACUUCCCUAUGGAAAUUAGAGGGGCAAAAAAUCACGAUAAUGUGCUUGGGGCCAAGAAAACCCUUCAGACAUCAGUAGUCAGAGCUUGUGACAUUGUUGAACUGAAUUUUUUCACUAGAAUCCUUCUCUAGCGGAUAUGUAUUAUAUUUCUUUCUUAACACCAUUAUCACCUUCCACAAUGGUUGUGUCAAUAGUUAUAACAUGUUGAUUUUCUCUCCCAAAAUUUGCAGCAGUUCCUUUCUGCCUGUUAUCCAUCAAGGAUAUAUGAGGUCACUACAAUCCUGAAUAAAAAGGAAUGAAACACACAAGCUACCAUAGCCAUUUUCAUCGAGUGUAACAAAUUUAUCAUCAUUUUGCCAAAAGCUUUCUUCUUAUAUGAAAAAACCACUUUGUUUCACUAAAGGUCAUCUAUUUUGAUCAUUGGAGAGGUGCCCUACUUCCCUUGUGUUUGUGCCUAUCUAUCAAAGUUUAAAAUUUUAAAUGGGAAGUGAAAUGUGGAUACCACCUGGUGAAUUCUUUGCUAGUAUAUCCAAUGCUCAGCCCCCCUGCGCCCUCCUCUUCUUCUGUCUCUGUCAUGUAGAUCCUAAAAGGGUGGUUAAAGCUUAAAAUUUUGGAAUGAGGGUUUGAACAUAUUAAUGGGUUUUGCCUGUAGGUUAACUACAGGUGAAUAAGGAUUAGGGCUAGUGAAAUCAAAUCCAGUUAGUUUGGAAUUGGUUUUACUGGAUUAUUCGUGCUGAACAAAGUAACAAAAUUAUAUAGGAGGAUUUGUAGUGAUAGAACCAAAGAGCUAAGUUUAGGUUUAUACAUAGUUGUGAAACCAAGAGGCGCACCAGGUGGGGAGGACAUUGCUUCAAAUCAGCAAAGGCGGGCGACCUCACAGAGGCGUGCCCCAGUGAGGUUAGCUCCGCCAUUGCAGAAAGUCGACUGAAAAAAAAGAAAAGAAAAAAAGAAAAGGAUUUACAUCGUUGAGUGCUAUUUGAAAAUCUAAUGCUCGUAUUGCCUUGUGCUUUUAUAAUGCAUACAGGGAAAGAAGUUUGUUCAUCAUUUGAAAUUUUGCUCUCAUAUGACCCAUACUUCCAGCGAAUUAAUCUGAGUCCUUAGUAUGCAUGCUGCUUCUCUAUUUUGAUUGUUUGUUCGAUUUCAUUUUGUUUUCCCAUAAUGAUUUUGGAAACAUGUCAGAUAUUUCAACAUUUCAUGUGGUGUCAUUGAAAGUAGAUGUGUUCCAAAGCAUUUUAUUAAAGUUUUGUUGCUUAAUUAAUUCUUUUAUUUAAUGAAGUUCUUGGCUAUUUUAUUAAUCUGAAACCCUAAAAACAGUUUCUCAAAUCAAGAACUAGAGAAUUAGGAAAUUUAGGAAGAAGAAUUGGGGAGAAAAAGAGCAGAAAGAAAGUAAAAAAAGAUAAAGAGUGGAGAAGAAGAAAGAGGUCUUUUAUUGAUUUCUGAUCUGCCAUUACAGUUAUUUCUUCCUCCUUUUAUAGCAAUUGUAACAGAUUUUGCCUCCAGCAGUUGUAACUGCUCCUUACAAGCUGAUCUAGAAUAAC